This 406-nucleotide ribosomal RNA is filed under the name uncultured bacterium. RNAcentral describes it as "partial 16S ribosomal RNA". It matches the Rfam family "Bacterial small subunit ribosomal RNA", at positions 30 to 526 of the family's 1533-position model. The record is from RNAcentral.
AUUGAACGCUGGCGGCAGGCCUAACACAUGCAAGUCGAACGAGUGGCGGACGGGUGAGUAAUGUCUGGGAAACUGCCUGAUGGAGGGGGAUAACUACUGGAAACGGUAGCUAAUACCGCAUACCAUCGGAUGUGCCCAGAGGGGAUUAGCUUGUAGGUGAGGUAACGGCUCAACUAGGCGACGAUCCCUAGCUGGUCUGAGAGGAUGACCAGCCAGACUGGAACUGAGGCACGGUCCAGACUCGUACGGGAGGCAGCAGUGGGGAAUAUUGCAAAAUGGGCGCAAGCCUGAUGCAGCCAGGGCGGGUGUAUGAAGAAGGCUUUCGGGUUGUAAAUUACUUUCAGCGGGGAGGCGUUACCCGCAUAAGAAGCACCGGCUAACUCCGUGCCAGCAGCCGCUGUAAUAC